This 722-nucleotide ribosomal RNA is filed under the name uncultured Fusobacterium sp. RNAcentral's name for it is "bacterial SSU rRNA". It matches the Rfam family "Bacterial small subunit ribosomal RNA", at positions 28 to 776 of the family's 1533-position model. Lineage: Bacteria; Fusobacteriati; Fusobacteriota; Fusobacteriia; Fusobacteriales; Fusobacteriaceae. The record is from RNAcentral.
GAUGAACGCUGACAGAAUGCUUAACACAUGCAAGUCAACUUGAACUUCGGUUUGGGUGGCGGACGGGUGAGUAACGCGUAAAGAACUUGCCUCACAGAUAGGGACAACAUUUGGAAACGAAUGCUAAUACCUGAUAUUAUGAUUUUAGGGCAUCCUAGGAUUAUGAAAGCUAUAUGCGCUGUGAGAGAGCUUUGCGUCCCAUUAACUAGUUGGAGAGGUAACGGCUCACCAAGGCGAUGAUGGGUAGCCGGCCUGAGAGGGUGAUCGGCCACAAGGGGACUGAGACACGGCCCUUACUCCUACGGGAGGCAGCAGUGGGGAAUAUUGGACAAUGGACCAAGAGUCUGAUCCAGCAAUUCUGUGUGCACGAUGAAGUUUUUCGGAAUGUAAAGUGCUUUCAGUUGGGAAGAAAAAAAUGACGGUACCAACAGAAGAAGUGACGGCUAAAUACGUGCCAGCAGCCGCGGUAAUACGUAUGUCACAAGCGUUAUCCGGAUUUAUUGGGCGUAAAGCGCGUCUAGGUGGUUAUGUAAGUCUGAUGUGAAAAUGCAGGGCUCAACUCUGUAUUGCGUUGGAAACUGUGUAACUAGAGUACUGGAGAGGUAAGCGGAACUACAAGUGUAGAGGUGAAAUUCGUAGAUAUUUGUAGGAAUGCCGAUGGGGAAGCCAGCUUACUGGACAGAUACUGACGCUGAAGCGCGAAAGCGUGGGUAGCAAACAGG